Molecule: ribosomal RNA, 465 nt
Filed under: uncultured bacterium
Lineage: Bacteria
Description: partial 16S ribosomal RNA
Rfam family: Bacterial small subunit ribosomal RNA
Source: RNAcentral
GAUGAACGCUGGCGGCGUGCUUAACACAUGCAAGUCGAACGGAAAGGCUCCUGCUUGCAGGGGCACUCGAGUGGCGAACGGGUGAGUAACACGUGGGUGAUCUGCCCUGCACUUCGGGAUAAGCCUGGGAAACUGGGUCUAAUACCGGAUAGGACCAUCGUUUAGUGUCGGUGGUGGAAAGUUUUUUCGGUGUGGGAUGAGCUCGCGGCCUAUCAGCUUGUUGGUGGGGUAAUGGCCUACCAAGGCGUCGACGGGUAGCCGGCCUGGGAGGGUGUACGGCCACUUUGGGCCGGGGAAACGGCCCAGACCCCUACGGGGGGCAGAGGGGGGAAGUAUGGCCAAAGGGGGGCAAGCUGUGUGGAGCGAGGCCGGGGGGGGGAGGACGCCCUUCGGGUUUGAAACCCUUUUCCCCGGGGACGAAGCGAAAGGGACGGUACCUGGAAAAAAAGCACCGGCUAACUACGG